This is a long non-coding RNA of Canis lupus familiaris (dog), 2029 nucleotides long. RefSeq lists it as uncharacterized. The record is from RefSeq and is a predicted model, not a curated record. Lineage: Eukaryota; Metazoa; Chordata; Mammalia; Carnivora; Canidae. The transcript has 3 exons.
AGGGCGGCAGGGCAACCCUUCCAGGCCUGCCGGCCCCUCCCUCCAGGAGAUGAGAGCGGGGAGCAAGGAGAGCCCCAAGGAGGAGAACAGGGCCCGGAAGCAGCUCCAGCGGGUGGCAUCCCCCGGUCCUGGCCGCGUCUCCCUCUCGGUCUCCCUCUCCGGCCAGCCCUGGGAUGGGCAGCAGGCAGGGGCAGGGGAAGAGACCAGUACCUCCUGAGACUCCUGCUCCCAACCUCCCCCUCUCGCCCUGCUGGCCUCAGCCUCAAGCAGCCACUGACACCAGCAACUUCCCCAGCAAAGGAAACUCCUUCCGACUGGUCCCUCAGAGCGGGGACCACCGCACCCCAACAUCCCUGCCGGAAGCAGACACCAAAGGCAGGAGACAGGAGACUGACAGCCACAGCCCCCGUAGCCAGCCCGGACCGGAAGCAGGGCAUCGGAGGGCUUGGUGACAGGUGGCCAAGAGGUCCCGGAGCUCAGCCAAACCCUUCUCCAAGCUUCAAUCUUCCAAAGAGUAAAGUGACAAGGAAGGCCCAGAGGAGGGGCAAACGGCAUCAGGAAAAAUUAGGGGGGCAUCCGGGGCCAGUGAUAGUCAAGCCAUCCGAGGGCUGCUCCCCCUCACUUGGGCAACAGUGAAACCCUGUGGAUUCAGGCAAGAGGGGCACCUUCCCAGCACCCUGUGUGGACAGGGUGGAGACAGAAGCAUCAUUGCGCCCACUCCCUGCCUCCAGAACAAGAUGACUUCACCCCUUCUUAAGUGGAGAGCCUGGGUUCCCAGAGUCCCAGAUUCCAGCACAUCAGAACCUACCAGCCUUGCCGGUGGCCGCAGACUGUGUGUGUGGGUGCUGCCAGAGACAGAGAUGGGAGAGAAUGGCCCCACUGGCGGUGCCUCUGAGCCUGAGGACUGUGUCGGGAGACCUGCCCAGUGGCCUUGGUUCCCUGCCCAGCCCUCACUGGCCCCAACUCUAGAGCAAAGGUGAAUCCCAAUAGCCUUGUCCUGCUCACCCCCACACCCCUGCAGACCAAGGGUGGCUUGGGGGCUUAGAUCAGCCCCGUCAGGUGAGGGAAGGGAGAGAUUCCACGUCAGCAAUCCGGGCUCCUCUAGAGGUGGAUGGGGAGUCUGCCACAAAAGUGGGAACCCCUCUCCCCAUCCCCAAGUGCAGGACUGCACAUCUGAUUCCAGGGUGAUCCUCUCCAUCUCCUAACGCACACCCACUAUCACCCUGAUUGACACCAAACUGUCCCCGGCUCUCCACUGCCCACCAGAUCCAGUCUGAGCUCUGCAGAAGGACCCUCUGUGACAAAGCCCCACCUCUGAGCCUUUUCAAGGCACAAUUCCCUCUUCCAUCAGCAAUCAGGCUUCAACUCAAAAGCCACAUCCUCCCUGGGUCCUUCUGCAACUGCACCAUUUGGUAGGUACCUUGCCUUCCUCUGAACACCCAAGGCUCUUGCUCAUACAUUAACGCCAGGACACUCACUUGUCGGGUGCACUUCUAGAUCUCCCAGUGAGUUGAGCAAAGAUUUAUUCUUCAUCCUCUUCCCCGACCCCAGUGUGCUCAAUGCCCAACACAAGGUGGGCACCUAGAUUCUCAAAGAAUGCAGAAUGAAAAAAACGGAUGGUAGAGAGAUGGAUGGAACUGAAUAAAAGAGCACUUUUAAACGCUUGAUUCUGCACCAGACUGUACCCCAGACAACUUUGGCAGACUUUUAUCUUCGAAGCUGUAUAAAAAACUGACUGUGCUAAGAUACGAGGACCAUGUACAUGACGUCCCAGGCGCACCCCAACCACCCCAGGUCUGCAGCAGACAGGAGGAGCUCUGAGACAUGCCAGCCUCAGCUGCUUGCCAGGAGCCCCUAGAGAUGCCUCGCUCUAUCGUCCACCCCAAAACACCCCUCUUUCCCAGCCCUCCUGCUCCAGCACCUGGGCACAGAAGCGUGAAUUCAGCAAGUCUCUAGAAACCACACAGACAGGAAGUCGAAGAGCUAGAGGAUCCCAAAGAAAAAUAAAAGCCUUCCCUUUUAUUUCCAA